CCUACGGGAGGCAGCAGUGAGGAAUAUUGGUCAAUGGGCGGAAGCCUGAACCAGCCAAGUCGCGUGAGGGAAUAAGGCCCUACGGGUCGUAAACCUCUUUUGCCGGGGAGCAAGGGCGGGGACGUGUCCCGGCCCGGAGAGUACCCGGAGAAAAAGCAUCGGCUAACUCCGUGCCAGCAGCCGCGGUAAUACGGAGGAUGCGAGCGUUAUCCGGAUUUAUUGGGUUUAAAGGGUGCGUAGGCGGUUUUUUAAGUUAGUGGUUAAACGUCGGGGCUUCACCUUGAUUUGCCAUUAAUACUGUAAGACUCGAGUUCAGACGAGGUAGGCGGAAUAAGUUAAGUAGCGGUGAAAUGCUUAGAUAUAACUUAGAACUCCGAUAGCGAAGGCAGCUUACCAGACUGCGACUGACGCUGAAGCACGAGAGCGUGGGUAGCGAACAGGAUUAGAUACCCCAGUAGUC
Molecule: ribosomal RNA, 460 nt
Filed under: uncultured bacterium
Lineage: Bacteria
Description: partial 16S ribosomal RNA
Rfam family: Bacterial small subunit ribosomal RNA
Source: RNAcentral